Long non-coding RNA from Mangifera indica (mango), 572 nucleotides. RefSeq lists it as uncharacterized. The record is from RefSeq and is a predicted model, not a curated record. The transcript is spliced from 2 exons. NCBI's taxonomy places the organism in Eukaryota, Viridiplantae, Streptophyta, Magnoliopsida, Sapindales, Anacardiaceae.
UAGACUGCAGGAAAAUUGUUCACCGAAAACGACCCCCUACCAGUAACUUUAUCUCUUUUUGCAAUUUCUUUCCCCUCACCGCCUAUAAAUUUUAGCAUGCUACAUUCUCCUCCUGAUAAAAUUAUACAUCAUGGACGCGCCUUCAGCUCAAGAGAUGUCAUAUGCAGAUCAUAUUAAGAGGCGGCGCGAAGAGAAAGGCUGCCUCUAUGCCUGUUUGUUCGCGGCUUGUUGCUGCUAUUGCUGUUUUGAAAGCUGCGAGUACUGCUUGGAAACUCUCUGUUGUUGCUGCGCCUAGCGCCAAAAUUCUGUGAUGUUAUUCCAGUAGUUGUGUGUUUGAUAUAUACAAGUGAUUGUGUGAAUGGUUGUUCAAAGUAGAAAUUAUGUAGACAAUUAAUAUUUGUCUCAUAAUUUUUGGUGUAAAUUUGGUUCCUCCAUGUACUCAUUUCAGUCUCUGAGCUUUUGCCUAUUACUUGCUGUAAUGGAAAUUUGUUAAUUUGCUGCUUAAUUCCCCUGUAUUUGGUAGACAAGUAUUGAAAAGCUAUAGUGAAAUAGUACCUAAACCUCUUUCUUUC